GACAGAGGUGCCAAGCGUUAGGCGGAAUCACUGGGCUUAAAGCGUGUGUAGGUGGAUGCCUAAGUGCCUUGUGAAAUCCCACGGCUCAACCGUGGAAUUGCUGGGCAUACUGGGUGUCUUGAGCCAUCCAGGGGUCGCUGGAACAAACGGUGGAGCGGUGAAAUGCGUAGAUAUCGUUUGGAACGCCAAUGGUGAAAACAGGCGACUGGGGAUGAGCUGACACUGAGACACGAAAGCCAGGGGAGCAAGCGGG
Molecule: ribosomal RNA, 253 nt
Filed under: uncultured bacterium
Lineage: Bacteria
Description: partial 16S ribosomal RNA
Rfam family: Bacterial small subunit ribosomal RNA
Source: RNAcentral